AUUGAACGCUGGCGGCAGGCUUAACACAUGCAAGUCGAGCGGGGGAAGGUAGCUUGCUACCGGACCUAGCGGCGGACGGGUGAGUAAUGCUUAGGAAUCUGCCUAUUAGUGGGGGACAACAUCUCGAAAGGGAUGCUAAUACCGCAUACGUCCUACGGGAGAAAGCAGGGGAUCUUCGGACCUUGCGCUAAUAGAUGAGCCUAAGUCGGAUUAGCUAGUUGGUGGGGUAAAGGCCUACCAAGGCGACGAUCUGUAGCGGGUCUGAGAGGAUGAUCCGCCACACUGGGACUGAGGCACGGCCCAGACUCAUACGGGAGGCAGCAGUGGGGAAUAUUGGACAAUGGGGGGAACCCUGAUCCAGCCAUGCCGCGUGUGUGAAGAAGGCCUUAUGGUUGUAAAGCACUUUAAGCGAGGAGGAGGCUACUUUAGUUAAUACCUAGAGAUAGUGGACGUUACUCGCAGAAUAAGCACCGGCUAACUCUGUGCCAGCCGCCGCCGCGG
This 501-nucleotide ribosomal RNA is filed under the name uncultured bacterium. RNAcentral describes it as "partial 16S ribosomal RNA". It matches the Rfam family "Bacterial small subunit ribosomal RNA", at positions 30 to 523 of the family's 1533-position model. The record is from RNAcentral.